RNAcentral lists this transfer RNA (72 nucleotides) under Haemonchus contortus (barber pole worm). Its description in RNAcentral is "tRNA, Pseudo". Lineage: Eukaryota; Metazoa; Nematoda; Chromadorea; Rhabditida; Trichostrongylidae. The record is from RNAcentral.
UUCCCAACCCAGGGAUCGAACCCAGGUCUCCUGCACUGUAGGCAGAUUCUUUACCAGCUGAGCCACCUGGGA